GUGAGGAAUAUUGCGCAAUGGAGGCAACUCUGACGCAGCCAUGCCGCGUGCAGGAAGAAGGCGCUACGCGUUGUAAACUGCUUUUAACCGGGAAGAAACCCCAGGACGUGUCCUGGGUUGACGGUACCGGAGGAAUAAGCACCGGCUAACUUCGUGCCAGCAGCCGCGGUAAUACGAAGGGUGCAAGCGUUAUCCGGAUUCAUUGGGUUUAAAGGGUGCGUAGUCGGAGCGUUAAGUCAGUGGUGAAAUCCUGCAGCUUAACUGUAGACUUGCCAUUGAUACUGGCGCGCUUGAGUGCGCUUGAAGUGGGCGGAAUGUGCCGUGUAGCGGUGAAAUGCUUAGAUAUGGCACAGAACACCAAUUGCGAAGGCAGCUCACUAAGGCGAUACUGACGCUGAGGCACGAAAGCGUGGGGAUCGAACAGGAUUAGAUACCCUAGUAGUCC
This 445-nucleotide ribosomal RNA is filed under the name uncultured bacterium. RNAcentral's name for it is "partial 16S ribosomal RNA". It matches the Rfam family "Bacterial small subunit ribosomal RNA", at positions 354 to 796 of the family's 1533-position model. The record is from RNAcentral.